AGCAGCAGCCGCGGGAAUACGUAGGGUGCGAGCGUUAAUCGGAAUUACUGGGCGUAAAGCGUGCGCAGGCGGUUUGUUAAGACAGAUGUGAAAUCCCCGGGCUUAACCUGGGAACUGCAUUUGUGACUGGCCGGCUAGAGUAUGGCAGAGGGAGGUGGAAUUCCACGUGUAGCAGUGAAAUGCGUAGAUAUGUGGAGGAACACCGAUGGCGAAGGCAGCCUCCUGGGCCAAUACUGACGCUCAUGCACGAAAGCGUGGGGAGCAAACAGGAUUAGAUACCCCGGUAGUCCCUGUCUCUUAUAC
This 303-nucleotide ribosomal RNA is filed under the name uncultured bacterium. RNAcentral describes it as "partial 16S ribosomal RNA". It matches the Rfam family "Bacterial small subunit ribosomal RNA", at positions 507 to 807 of the family's 1533-position model. The record is from RNAcentral.